This 484-nucleotide long non-coding RNA is filed under the name Solanum tuberosum (potato). RNAcentral describes it as "long non-coding RNA (STUB_LNC001622)". Lineage: Eukaryota; Viridiplantae; Streptophyta; Magnoliopsida; Solanales; Solanaceae. The record is from RNAcentral.
ACUUAAGAAAAUAAAACAAAGAAUAACCUAGAAGAUUAGUCCAAUAACCUUAAACCCACUUCUAAAAUCUAUUCAAAUAAAACAAGAAAUAUUAACUCUCAAGCAGUAAGCCAUUUAAACAUCGAAUACUAAACCGAAGAGGGCAGAAAUGAGCUAAAGAUUGCUCUAUAUAGUGAGAAAACAAACCCUAACACAUCACAGAGAGGAAGCAUAAAACAACCUACCAUUAUAUCGGACAAUGACUCAGAAGAAUACCUAAGAAACACUUUUAAGCAUUCUUCAAGGUUAAGACAGAAAAAACACAUACGAACUAAGUUAAAAUAGAGAAAAUCAACGCCAAACGAGAACUGUACUAAUGUCACUAAAACAACUCUAUACCGAUUGACAACAAUACAAUAACGCGCAAACUUUCGGAUUACAACACUUGAAAGGCGAAAAGGCUGAACUAUAGGCAUCACACUUGAGAAUAGGAACAAGAAAAAAA